This 275-nucleotide ribosomal RNA is filed under the name Clostridioides difficile. RNAcentral describes it as "partial 16S ribosomal RNA". It matches the Rfam family "Bacterial small subunit ribosomal RNA", at positions 796 to 1069 of the family's 1533-position model. The record is from RNAcentral. Lineage: Bacteria; Bacillati; Bacillota; Clostridia; Peptostreptococcales; Peptostreptococcaceae.
CACGCUGUAAACGAUGAGUACUAGGUGUCGGGGGUUACCCCCUUCGGUGCCGCAGCUAACGCAUUAAGUACUCCGCCUGGGAAGUACGCUCGCAAGAGUGAAACUCAAAGGAAUUGACGGGGACCCGAACAAGUAGCGGAGCAUGUGGUUUAAUUCGAAGCAACGCGAAGAACCUUACCUAAGCUUGACAUCCCAAUGACAUCUCCUUAAUCGGAGAGUUCCCUUCGGGGACAUUGGUGACAGGUGGUGCAUGGUUGUCGUCAGCUCGUGUCGUG